This 211-nucleotide non-coding RNA is filed under the name Streptomyces sp. MnatMP-M17. RNAcentral's name for it is "Streptomyces RNA 1601". It matches the Rfam family "Streptomyces RNA 1601". Rfam says of the family: Identified by deep sequencing of transcriptome at the end of exponential growth phase. Appears longer on northern blot than sequencing transcript. Lineage: Bacteria; Bacillati; Actinomycetota; Actinomycetes; Kitasatosporales; Streptomycetaceae. The record is from Rfam by way of RNAcentral.
UACGACCGGCCGGACAUCCUUAUGCCCGGCCCACAAGUGGAGGCUCCGAUCUCCCACCUGGCUGCCCCUCAGGGGCGGCGGGUCACCGGUCAGGUGGUGCCCAUCGUUCCGUACGGACGAUGGAGCCGCCCGACGCGCCCCGUGGUACAUGCGCGGCGGUGCUCCGGUAGUCAGAAGGAGCCCUGCCUGUGUGCCGUCCGGGGCAUUUUUC